RNAcentral lists this ribosomal RNA (253 nucleotides) under uncultured bacterium. RNAcentral describes it as "partial 16S ribosomal RNA". It matches the Rfam family "Bacterial small subunit ribosomal RNA", at positions 524 to 776 of the family's 1533-position model. The record is from RNAcentral.
UACGGAGGGGGCUAGCGUUGUUCGGAAUUACUGGGCGUAAAGCGCACGUAGGCGGCUUUGUAAGUUAGAGGUGAAAGCCCAGGGCUCAACCCUGGAAUUGUCUUUAAGACUGCAUCGCUUGAACAUCGGAGAGGUAAGUGGAAUUCCGAGUGUAGAGGUGAAAUUCGUAGAUAUUCGGAAGAACACCAGUGGCGAAGGCGACUUACUGGACGAUUGUUGACGCUGAGGUGCGAAAGCGUGGGGAGCAAACAGG